UGCCUUACCAAAAUAUUGGUCACGCCCGACCCUUUUGGCCUCCACCUAGAUCACGACCAAUUUUGGCUCACCCCAGCGCCUGCAUCCAUUUUCGCCAAAUCGCAGGCGAAACGGCGGCGCGGAAAUCGGCCGCCAAAAAAUUGGCAGCGCGCGAACUGGGCCGAGUAUAAAAGGUAGGCAGCGGAAUUUCCUCAUCGGUUCCUUCAAUUUCCUCUUCUCAUCCCAGGCAAACACACAUGAGCGAGUGGAGGGCAAGAUCUGCAGCUAUCGCCAAGGCCGCCAUAUUCUUGCGACACUGCGAGCUUCUCCGGCCGCCGCCUGCGUUGCUCUCUCUCUCGUUCUCAUCUCUCAAUCCACCCAUGGUCAUGGGGAAUCAUAAGCUCACUCUGAAGACCGAGGAGGACUCCAAUCCUCGUGAUAAGUACAUAACUUGGACUGACGAGGUGACAAGGUUUAUGCUUGAGUGGUAUAUCGACCUUCGUAAGGACAAACCUGCAACUUUCAAGUUCAAGAAACAACACCACUUGCAAUGUGUUGAUGCUCUAAAUGCCAAGUUUUUGCUUGGUGUCACUCAAACCCAAGUGGAUCGACACUAUCGUCAAUGCAAGGAGAAGUGGGGUUGGGUGCGUCGUGCCCUUGACAGAACCACUUUCACAUUCACACUUUCCGGGUCAUAAAAGCAAAGACUCAAUAAAACUGCUGUCAAUUAUCUUACUAGACCCAUUAGGUUCUUUCAUCAAUUGGAAGAGUUAUUCUUGGAUCAAUCUCAUGCUGAUGGCUCACUCGCAGUUGACCAAACCACUGUCAAUGUGGAUGAUGGUAGUGAUGACAGCGAGGAUGUGAGGGAACUUGAGGGAAAUCUAAUUCCAGCAGACAGUGAUGAAGCUGACUCUGACACUAUUGAUCGUCGAAGUCCUAAAGUCGACUUGGAUGGAAAUCCAUUAAACAAGAAGCGCAAGUGUGCAUCAUCAUCACCUUCCAAGAAGCCAACCAAGGGCAAAGCAAACAAGAAGGGCAAGGUAUCUAAUGAUGAUAUGGUAACCAGUAUCAAGAAGCUAGCUGAAUCCCUUGCAUCCCCUAUUGUGUCUGUGCAACCAAUGCCACCUGCAGAUCCUUAUGCAAAUCUUUGGAAGCGGAUCAAUGCCCUUACCAUCCCAGCUAAGGAUAAACUUGAGAUUGUUGCCUAUCUAUCCAAGCCAGACCAAGAUAUCUUUCGUAGCUAUCUUAACUAUGCCGAUGAAACAAUUCUUCGAGAGUGGGUCAUUAGCUACUUUGAGCCUCAGUUUCAUGAAGGUGGCAAUGAUGGAUCUGCGGCUGCUCACUGAAUUGCCACAUGGUUAGAUAGAGUUUGUGGCAACCUUUUGUUUAUAUGGCUAGGAACGCUUUAACACGUAGUGGGAGCAUGGAUAACAUCAUCAUGCAUAUUUUGUCUAUAUACAGCAAACUUGGGUGCAUCAUGUACUGUUUGUAUGGAGUGCAUUUGGUGCAUGGCUGGCUGUUUAUGUCCUAGAUGGUAUGGUAAAGGAUGUGAA
This is a long non-coding RNA of Triticum aestivum (bread wheat), 1532 nucleotides long. RefSeq lists it as uncharacterized. NCBI's taxonomy places the organism in Eukaryota, Viridiplantae, Streptophyta, Magnoliopsida, Poales, Poaceae. The record is from RefSeq and is a predicted model, not a curated record. The transcript is spliced from 3 exons.